ACGGCCAUACCACAUUGAAAACACCGGUUCUCGUCCGAUCACCGAAGUUAAGCAAUGUCGGGCCCGGUCAGUACUUGGGAGUCGAAACGUUGAUAAAAUAAAAAAGUGUCUAUAA
This is a non-coding RNA of Cordylochernes scorpioides, 115 nucleotides long. The record is from the annotation of a GenBank genome assembly. Lineage: Eukaryota; Metazoa; Arthropoda; Arachnida; Pseudoscorpiones; Chernetidae.